RNAcentral lists this ribosomal RNA (360 nucleotides) under Triticum aestivum (bread wheat). RNAcentral's name for it is "partial small subunit ribosomal RNA". The record is from RNAcentral. Lineage: Eukaryota; Viridiplantae; Streptophyta; Magnoliopsida; Poales; Poaceae.
CAGAAUUGUCUUCAUAAGCAGACUGGGCGCAAUGUUCAUGCAUAUGUGGAUGAUAUUGUGAUAAAGUCCAGGAAGGAGGAAACAUUGAUAGAUGAUUUCAGAGAAACCUUUGACAACCUCCGGGUUUACAAGAUGAUGCUCAAUCCGGAAAAGUGUGUCUUUGGUGUCCCGGCAGGCAAACUCUUGGGUUUUCUGGUGUCAAACAGAGGCAUUGAGGCUAAUUCGGAAAAAAUCUCAGCAAUUACAUCUUUGGCUAAAUCGGCGUGUAUCAAUGAUGUUCAACGUUUGGCCGGUCGGAUUGCGGCUUUGAGCCGGCGUGUAUCAAUACCUUUGAACAGAGGAGGAGUUGGCUAUUCCUGA